CUGCAGUGAUGACAAUCUUAGGACACCUUUGGAAUAAUAAUGAAAACAAAUAUUUUUCUGAGCUUC
This is a small nucleolar RNA of Amblyraja radiata (thorny skate), 66 nucleotides long. RefSeq annotates it as small nucleolar RNA SNORD58. The transcript has a single exon. Lineage: Eukaryota; Metazoa; Chordata; Chondrichthyes; Rajiformes; Rajidae. The record is from RefSeq and is a predicted model, not a curated record.